CACCGCGGUUAUACGAAAGGCCCAAGCUGAUAGCCAUCGGCGUAAAGGGUGGUUAGGAAAUAAUUGAAACUAAAGCCGAAUAUAUUUAAGGCUGUUGCACGCAUUCAAAUACAAGAAGCCCAAUCACGAAAGUAGCUUUAUUAAAUCUGAACCCACGAAAGCCAGGGAA
RNAcentral lists this ribosomal RNA (169 nucleotides) under Acanthocepola limbata (blackspot bandfish). RNAcentral's name for it is "partial 12S rRNA". The record is from RNAcentral. Lineage: Eukaryota; Metazoa; Chordata; Actinopteri; Priacanthiformes; Cepolidae (in: ray-finned fishes).